UACGAAGGGGGCUAGCGUUGUUCGGAAUUACUGGGCGUAAAGCGCACGUAGGCGGAUAUUUAAGUCAGGGGUGAAAUCCCAGAGCUCAACUCUGGAACUGCCUUUGAUACUGGGUAUCUUGAGUAUGGAAGAGGUAAGUGGGAAUUGCGAGUGUAGAGGUGAAAUUCGUAGAUAUUCGCAGGAACACCAGUGGCGAAGGCGGCUUACUGGCCCAUUACCUGGACGCAUGACGGUUGGACGAA
RNAcentral lists this ribosomal RNA (242 nucleotides) under uncultured bacterium. Its description in RNAcentral is "partial 16S ribosomal RNA". It matches the Rfam family "Bacterial small subunit ribosomal RNA", at positions 524 to 761 of the family's 1533-position model. The record is from RNAcentral.